CCUACGGGUGGCAGCAGUGGGGAAUCUUGGACAAUGGGCGAAAGCCUGAUCCAGCAAUGCCGCGUGUGCGAUGAAGGCUUUCGGGUUGUAAAGCACUUUUGUCAGGGAAGAAAUGGUUCGGGCCAAUACCCCGGACUUCUGACGGUACCUGAAGAAUAAGCACCGGCUAACUACGUGCCAGCAGCCGCGGUAAUACGUAGGGUGCAAGCGUUAAUCGGAAUUACUGGGCGUAAAGCGUGCGCAGGCGGUUUACUAAGACAGGUGUGAAAUCCCCGGGCUUAACCUGGGAACUGCAUCUGUGACUAGUAGACUAGAGUUUGGCAGAGGGGGGUGGAAUUCCUGGUGUAGCAGUGAAAUGCGUAGAUAUCAGGAGGAACACCGAUGGCGAAGGCAGCCCCCUGGGCCACCACUGACGCUCAUGCACGAAAGCGUGGGGAGCA
RNAcentral lists this ribosomal RNA (440 nucleotides) under uncultured bacterium. RNAcentral's name for it is "bacterial SSU rRNA". It matches the Rfam family "Bacterial small subunit ribosomal RNA", at positions 338 to 770 of the family's 1533-position model. The record is from RNAcentral.